Molecule: ribosomal RNA, 253 nt
Filed under: uncultured bacterium
Lineage: Bacteria
Description: partial 16S ribosomal RNA
Rfam family: Bacterial small subunit ribosomal RNA
Source: RNAcentral
UACAGGGGGGGCAAGCGUUGUUCGGAAUUACUGGGCGUAAAGGGCUCGUAGGCGGCCAACUAAGUCACACGUGAAAUCCCCAGGCUUAACCUGGGAACUGCGUGUGAUACUGGAUGGCUUGAAUCCGGGAGAGGGAUGCAGAAUUCCAGGUGUAGCGGUGAAAUGCGUAGAUAUCUGGAGGAAUACCGGUGGCGAAGGCGGCAUCCUGGACCGGCAUUGACGCUGAUGAGCGAAAGCUAGGGGAGCAAACGGG